Molecule: ribosomal RNA, 253 nt
Filed under: uncultured bacterium
Lineage: Bacteria
Description: partial 16S ribosomal RNA
Rfam family: Bacterial small subunit ribosomal RNA
Source: RNAcentral
UACGGGGGGGCAAGCGUUGUUCGGAAUUACUGGGCGUAAAGGGCUCGUAGGUGGCCAACUAAGUCAGACGUGAAAUCCCUCGGCUUAACCGGGGAACUGCGUCUGAUACUGGAUGGCUUGAGUUUGGGAGAGGGACGCGGAAUUCCAGGUGUAGCGGUGAAAUGCGUAGAUAUCUGGAGGAACACCGGUGGCGAAGGCGGCGUCCUGGACCAAUACUGACACUGAUGAGCGAAAGCCAGGGGAGACAAACGGG